GUCACAAUGAAAAUAGGAAUAUAAGAGUCCUCAAGGCUGUCAGGAAAAUUGUGAGACAAAACAUGCAGAGAUCCCAUGAGAGGAUUCCAGUGACUGAGAUUCUGCCCCUGGAGCCCUUCGGUUUUCUCUGUGUUUUGGUUUCAUCGAAGUCAGCGCAGCAAGGCAGUGGAGCUGCAGGAGAGAAUGCUGUGUGCCAUCGGUGUGUCCACACAGUCAACACAGUUACUGCCUGCGUCUGGAUCCAGAACUUCGCUAUCAUUAGGACAGAUGCAAAAUACAAAGCACACGUCUCUGGGGUCAAAUGCUGGAUGGGACUUUAGGAGAGUCUACAGGUGGGAAACGUAGCAGGAAACUUUGGACAUGAGAUGCUCCCUGUAGCCCAGGAAAUGAUCUGAGGGACUCAUUGUCCCCUUCCCCUCCCACCUCUACCUAUCUAAUCCCGCAGCAAGACCUGACACUCUCACCACCACUGUGACCCACGCUGAUCUUUCCCUUAUAUGAGCAUCAGCAGAGUUUUAUACUGUGUACCAAAC
RNAcentral lists this long non-coding RNA (533 nucleotides) under Fukomys damarensis (Damara mole-rat). RNAcentral's name for it is "lncRNA (ENSFDAG00000026247.1)". The record is from RNAcentral. Lineage: Eukaryota; Metazoa; Chordata; Mammalia; Rodentia; Bathyergidae.